UACGUAAGGGGCAAGCGUUGUUCGGAAUUAUUGGGCGUAAAGGGCGCGCAGGCGGUUUGCCAAGCCUGAUGUGAAAGACCUCGGCUUAACUGAGGCAGUGCGUUGGGAACUGGCAGGCUAGAGUAUAGGAGGGGGAGUUGGAAUUCCUGGUGUAGGGGUGAAAUCUGUAGAUAUCAGGAAGAACACCGGUGGCGAAGGCGAACUCCUGGCCAUAUACUGACGCUGAGGCGCGAAAGCGUGGGGAG
This 245-nucleotide ribosomal RNA is filed under the name uncultured Spirochaetaceae bacterium. RNAcentral describes it as "partial 16S ribosomal RNA". It matches the Rfam family "Bacterial small subunit ribosomal RNA", at positions 524 to 768 of the family's 1533-position model. The record is from RNAcentral. Lineage: Bacteria; Pseudomonadati; Spirochaetota; Spirochaetia; Spirochaetales; Spirochaetaceae.